Hylaeus anthracinus is the source of this 1607-nucleotide long non-coding RNA. RefSeq lists it as uncharacterized. The transcript has 2 exons. The record is from RefSeq and is a predicted model, not a curated record. NCBI's taxonomy places the organism in Eukaryota, Metazoa, Arthropoda, Insecta, Hymenoptera, Colletidae.
CCUCAAAUCGAAUGAAACGAUAACAAACCCUCCCUUUUAUUAAAUUUUUCGAUGGGAAUUUACGUCGAAUUUAAGAAGGGAGAUAUGAAGUAUGAAGCUAAUAUAAAGAGGGUUCGAUUUACGACGCCAGCUUGCCACAAAUUUUUUUAUCGAUUUCGAAAUCAAUACGACGGAACGAAGUUUUCUUAGGAGGUAUCGACGCUUUGGCGUUGCGGCUGACUAGCACGGUCCGUUACUACUGAUACCGUCGCCCACUGGCCGUCUUGGUUACUGUCGGUCAAUAUUAACUCUUUGACUGGCAAUAUCCGAUGUGCCGAACGAAUCAAUCGCCUGACGCGAGCUAUUUUAUCUUGAAAUCGAGAGACAAGUGUCUGUGAAUUCUAACCGAAAUAAUAUGAACAGUCGAUCGUCAACACUAUCAUUGUGCAAGAUGCGAUCAUUUUACGAAUUCGAAAACUAGAGACUACUUUGCGAAACAUUUUUAGUAAAAGUCUGAUACUGGCUUACGUCUAACAGUGAUUUUUAUUACAAAAUGGGAAACAUUCUAUCGAUAUCAAUUUUUGGUCCUCUUCGAAAUGCAAUAAGCUAUGAUUAAGAGUGAAAUAGUGAAAAUUUAGAAAGAAAUCAACAUACCACAGUAUAAGAAGUUAAAAAAAGAUCAUCUAAUUUUCUACGCAAAGACUAUGAAACGUAUAUUAUUACCCUAGCAACAAUGAAUUUUCUUUGCGUUGUCCAAGUCAUCGAGAACAAGUACUGGAAGCCCUAUUUAACUUCAGUCUCCAGCGGUCUUAAGGUCCUUUUUUCUUAGAUUUUUCAUACCGGUGGAGCUUAACAAAACACCGCUAUGAUAUGUGACCCGCAGUUGAAGAAGGACAGGAAAGGAUGAGAGCUGAAAUUAACGAAGGCACACGUGAACGGUACGAUGACUUUUAUUUUGAAAAACGUUUAUUAUAAUCGAACCCAAACAGAUAAUAACGGUUUCGUCGAUAAGAAAAAUUACUGUUAAAUGCAAGCCAAUAUCAGAGCGUUUAUAUCCACUACAACGAUAUCGAUGGAUUUGUGAAACACUACUCGUUAUCCUGUAAAUUAUUUAUAACCGUCGAUCGUUCGCAAAUACACGGAAUUGCAGUCGCGUUAAUUUUGAUAUGCUCGUUUGUCAGUUUCGUGUUAUUUCGCUGAUUAAGUAGACACGUGUGCAAUUCAGGAUGCAUUUUUAAUAAACGAAGGAUUAUUCGUUACUCUUCGAAUCGUAAUCAAAGUCUCCAUUAAUAGAAAUUUGAUUAUAAUUGUAAGUAGAACAUAACGCGAGUGAAGAAAUAAACAUUGCCAAUUGGCAAAAUAAUUCAGACCACAAAGGAUGAUAUACACGUACAGAGAUCUAUUUAAUGCAAUAUUCGAGUACAUUGAUGCAUUCAGCAGAGAUGGGCAAAAUAGUAUUCGAAUAAAAAAAACGUGGCACUAUGUAUCCGGAGCUUGUACUCGACCAAACAGCUUUCAUUUUUUCAUUUAACGUGAAAUAUAAUAUUAAUUCGGACCAAAAAUUUGUAUUCAACCCAAAUGUUGCUGAUCUUUUAUUCGUCAUCAGAAAUAUUCACCUACGAAUUUCG